RNAcentral lists this long non-coding RNA (374 nucleotides) under Anolis carolinensis (green anole). Its description in RNAcentral is "lncRNA (ENSACAG00000039988.1)". Lineage: Eukaryota; Metazoa; Chordata; Lepidosauria; Squamata; Anolidae. The record is from RNAcentral.
CAGCCACAGGGUUCUUAAGGAAGCCCCGCCCUUCCAACCAAAAGUAGGAAUGAAGGGGAUUCAAGCUCCGCCCACUUUCGACGUAAGGUGGGGAAAGGUGGCUUUGGUCACCUGACAGUGACACUGCCCUCCUUGAACUGGGGCAGAGCUGUUGGAGUGGGAGGCGGUGGUGGCUGCAUGCACACUGUAGAAUCAAUGCAGUUUGACACCGCUUCAAUUGCCAUGGCUCAUUUUUAUGGAAUCCUGGGAUCUGUGCUUUGGUGCAGCAUCGGCACUCUUUGUCAGGUUCAGCUACUUGUUCCAAACCAGUAAACCCAUGGAAUCAACAUCUAAAUGAAAAUGGGUUUUGCCUCCUUCACUGCUUCUCCGUCCCA